This is a long non-coding RNA of Equus caballus (horse), 2046 nucleotides long. NCBI's taxonomy places the organism in Eukaryota, Metazoa, Chordata, Mammalia, Perissodactyla, Equidae. The record is from Ensembl.
AAGAGAGCAACUUUCUAUCUGGUGGUAGAGUCGGAAUAAACUAUGUAGGUAGGAGUUGCCUGUGGCCAUGGGUCUCAUCUUGUUGGGAACUCACUUGGAGAGAAGGAAGCCAGUAGAUUGAGAGAAGCAAAGGCAAGCAAUGUCUUGAAGAAUCAGCUCUCUUUUGGUUCUUGAUUUGGUACUUUGGCCAAGCGUUCAGCAGAAUUGCUGUGAGACCGUGUGUUCCUGUCUCGUGUGAACAAGCCAGCUAGAAAGGAAGGAUGGAGAAGGAAAGAAAACUCCCAAGGAAAAAACAGGAAAACAUGGAAAGUGGAAUUCACAGUGGAGGAGGAAUGGCCAAAAGAGGCUGUGAUCCAAGCAAAACAGCAGCAAGUGAAAUAAACAGAGGAGAUACGCGUGAAGAGAGGACAUCUGGAACAAAGGAAGAGCUGAACGAAACCAAGGGUCAUUCUGAAGAAGAAAAAUACUAAGCAGUCAAAAGUGUCCCCAAAUAGCAAGUAUGGAGUCAAUCGUUGGUAUUCACUAAGAGAGAAGAAAAUUCUAAUGAGAAGCACAUGCCACCAGGUGGAGGUGGGAAGUGGGACAUGCUUCCAAGAAGUCCUUACAAUUGCAUUCCGAUGACUCCACUAAGUUGAUAAAGAAGCUGCAGUUAUAGAAAGAAGUUAUAGAAAGAAGGUCAACCCUGUGACUUAGUUCUAAACAACUGCAGCCCCAGAAGACGUUCAGGGGCAGAGGUGGUGCGCAUCUUCUGUUAUAAUUGACCUGGGCUUUGAGAUUUCUCUGUCAUGAUGUAUCCCAGAAUGUUGCAUGAUGGGAAGACCCUUGUUAUUCCUUCACCAGCCGAGCCAAACGGACAAGAUCAAACAGCUAUGCUCAAACACGGCAAUUGAUCCAGAACCAGAAGCUGGGACCCAGUGUUGCAGUUCAUGGUGUAAUUGCAGACAGGCUAAGAAAGCCCUGCCGCAUCCCCUGACCCCCUCUGCUUCCCGCCUCUCAGGAGCAGUAUCAACUGGCGGCUUUCUGCAAUCUACCUUCGUGGGACCAUGGCUUUUUUACUUAAGGCUAAAAUCUUUGUUUAAACACAAAACCUUGAGAGGGAUCAUAUUUAAGGUGGUACAAGGUGAAGAAAUCCUAUCACAGAAGGAAACUUUGAAAGAAUUGGAUCUGAUUUGGUUAAAAAAAAGAAGGAAGAAAGAAAAAAAACAAGGAGAGAUAUGUCUUCAAAUAUUUGAAGAAUUUUAAAAGAAGUCAACUUGCUUUUGCUUCUACCAAAAGCACAAUGGGAACCAAGAGUGAAAGCUGUCUGUUUUCUGUUCUACAUUAAGAAAGAAUUUACCAACACUUGACGCUGCCCAAGUGUAGAAUGGCCGUCCUGGGGAAGUUGUGGGUACCCCUUUAUUAUAAGAUCUCAGCAGGGAUACUGGAGACAGAGUCCUCUCCCUUAUGGGUUCUUCCAAUCCUAAAUUCUGUAGCUCUUUGGUUAAUGUUCUAUAUCUUUGUGCAAGUGUUUAUGGCUGUUAUUUGUGUGAUUAAGAAAAUUUUAUUAAAAACACUGAAAAACACAAAUAAAGUAAAAAUCACCCAUAAUCCCACCACUUAAAGAUUGAUCAAGGAAAGAAGCAAAGUCCUUGGCCCCUCUAAUUCUGUCCUCCAUUGUUCAUAGUUUGGCUAAAUUCAUUAAAACUAAAGGAAGGCAAUUGAUAAUAUUAAUGACAGUUAAUGAAAAGGAAUAGAUGACAUGGUAUUGGUUGAUACAUGUGUGUGCAGAUAUAUUUUUUCUGUCAUAUAUAUAUAUAUAUAUACACAUACAAUUUUAGAGCUGACUGAUUCAAAUCACACCUUGAACUACAUCUGAACCAACAUUAAGAAUGGAAAUUGACUUUUUAUAAAAAAAACUUCAUUUUAUGAUAUUUUAAAAUUUCCUCUUUUACCUAACUGCUAAAUACAACUGAGGGUUUUCCCUUUGGGGGAGUGUCUUCUGUUUCAUUUUGGCUUCAGGGUAAAAUGAGGCAGCGUGUGCGAGUGAGUGCAGACAUGAGGAGAGGU